UAUUCUCAUUUUUGCCCCCCUUGCUCUCUUUUUUUCUCUUGCUUUCUUUCCAUUGCUUUCUCCCGAGAGAUGCUAGUCAGUACGGGUUCGGCCUUUGAUCUUCCCCAGCCUUUCAUGGAACAAAGCUUACCUUCGUUCUCUCUUGUCUUUUUCUUUCUUUUUUAUUUUUCUGUAAAAAUGCAGUUUUAGCGAGGGUGACCGAGAAAGAAAGAGAAACAGAGAAAGAGAAAAAGCGAGAGCUCAUCGUCCCAAGGUGGAAGUGUCUCAUUGCAGUGAAAAAAGCUCAGGGUUCCCACUGAUUUUCCAUCAUUGGUGGUUCUGAUGGAAACCUGUUUACCCACCCGAGGUUAAGGAAUGAAGUCGAGACUGCCAUGCCAACAAUGCUGCUCCUGCCAGAUGUGACGGAAACCUGGCGUGUUUGCACCAAGAACUCACUACAGACUUUAUUACA
This is a long non-coding RNA of Trichomycterus rosablanca, 451 nucleotides long. RefSeq lists it as uncharacterized. NCBI's taxonomy places the organism in Eukaryota, Metazoa, Chordata, Actinopteri, Siluriformes, Trichomycteridae. The transcript is spliced from 3 exons. The record is from RefSeq and is a predicted model, not a curated record.